GCAGGGUUUGGUGUCAGGAGCUUUUCAGGGUGUUGUGUCAGUUAGUUUUGUACUAUGUGGUGUCAGGGUUGGUUGGCAGAGUUUGGUGUAAGGGUAUUUGCAUGAGUUUGGUGUGAGGAUUUUAUCAUGGUUUGUGUCAAGGAGUUUUGCAAUGUUCGGUGUCAGGGUGUUUAGUAGGAUGUGGCAUCAUAUAGUUUAGCAGGGUUUGUUGUCAGGGAGUUUAGCAGGGUGUGGUGUCAGGGAGUUUAGCAGGAUGUGGUGUCAGGUGGUUUAGCAGGAUGUGGUGUCAGGUAUUUUAGCAGGAUGUGGUGUCAGGUAGUUUAGCAGGAUGUGGUGUCAGGUUGCUUAGCAGGAUGUGGUAUCAGAAAGUUUAGCAGGAAGUGGUGUCAGGUAGUUUAGCAGGAUGUGGUGUCAGGUAGUUUAGCAGGAUGUGGUGUCAGGUGGUUUAGCAGGAUGUGGUGUCAGGUGGUUUAGCAGAAUGUGGUGUCAGGUGGUUUAGCAGGAUGUGGUGUCAGGGGGUUUAGCAGGAUGUGGUGUCAGGUAGUUUAGCAGGAUGUGGUGUCAGGUGGUUUAGCAGGAUGUGGUGUCAGAAUAUUCGGGACCCCACACGUUUAACUGUGGUGAAGCUACAUGUUUUGAAGAAUGAGCAUGAUACUUACAAGGUGCUUAAUCUACUUAUAAUAUUAUUCCAUGAUAAACACCAAGUGACCUCCUAUUCAUGAUGGAUUAAGUAGAUUGUGGUUGGUAGUUAAAGCCUUUCUCUCAGUCUCAGCAACUUCAAUUUUGCAAAUUCACAGUUACAAACAUCCUACAUCACGUGUCCUACAUGUCUCUAAUUGAUGAUAAUUUAUUUUGGUUAACA
Long non-coding RNA from Oncorhynchus tshawytscha (Chinook salmon), 862 nucleotides. Lineage: Eukaryota; Metazoa; Chordata; Actinopteri; Salmoniformes; Salmonidae. The record is from Ensembl.